GGCUGGUCUCGAACUCCUGAGCUCAGGCAAUCUGCCUCGUACUCCCAAAGUGCUAGGAUUACAGCUGUGAGCCACCACACCUAGGCUAUCCUAAGUUUUAAGAUGGUAACAGCUGAUUCUUUUUUCUCGUACUGUCUCACAUCUGCAAGUUUUUUGCUUUAAAACAAAGCUCAGUUAUGUAAAGUUUUACAGUGAAACAAUUUCAAUUAUCAAGAUAGAUAAAGAAUUAUACCAAACUACCUUCAUGUGCUUUUUGGCUUGGCUUACAAUAGCUAGUAUAUCAGGGAGUUCUGUAGAUGCCAUAAUUUCAAAAUUUCCACAAAAUAUCUGAAGUGAUAUCCUCAUGAACAGCAUGGUUCCGGAAAUGUAGAAUGGAUUGUAGUUAGGUGUAUUAUUGGUUGGCUGAAGGACUGUACAUCAUAUUGUAUAAAAGUCCACUAUAUAGAGUACCUGGAAGAGGGACUGUCAAGUGUUAAACACAAAUCACUGCUUGACUUAGCAUUUAUAUCAGCCCCUUAGGUUAAAACCAGUUGUUUUAAGUAGAAGAUGAGAGAUUUUGCCUAAGACCAUUUUUUUUGUGUGACAGAGAUCUAGAGUGUGUAAUUCACGAAGUAUGAAUCUGCUGGGUAAUGUGAUAUGAAAAGCGAAUGCACCAUUUCUUGGUGAUGAUUCAGGUCAGCGUUGGGACCCAGGAAUCUCCUGUUAAUCAGUACCCUGGUGAUUUUGAUCCAGGUCAUCAAGACCAUGGCUUCCAUCGUAGGCAGUCACACUCUUUCUCUCUUGGAUCAUUUGCUGUGGGGAAGCAAACUGUCAUAUGAGAGGACACUCAAACAGCCUCUGGAGUCUCAUUUGCUAAGGAACUGAGGACUCCAGCCUGAGAACUCAGGCAAGUAACUGAGGCCUGCCAACAACCAUGGAGAAAGCCUGGAAGUGGAUCCUCCCUCAGCCUUCAGUCGAGACAACAGCUGCAAUGACAGCCAAGCCAGCGCCACCCAGCUUAGCCACCCCCAGAGAACUAACUCUCAGAAACCAUGUAAGAUAAUACAUGUUUGUUGUUUUAAGCUGCUAAGUUUUGGGGUAAUUUAUUAUACAAUAGAUAAUUAAAACACAUAGCAUAUAAAUAAAAUCAAUAAAACCAGUAUGGGUC
Molecule: long non-coding RNA, 1147 nt
Organism: Homo sapiens (human)
Lineage: Eukaryota; Metazoa; Chordata; Mammalia; Primates; Hominidae
Gene: GALNT7-DT
Product: GALNT7 divergent transcript
Source: Ensembl